UUAAGUGCCCAGUCUGGCCAUGAACUUGAGAUCCUUUUGUGAAUAGCUGAGAUAACAGGCAUGCACUGCCAUGCCCAGUGCAAAUGAUCCAAGUUUAUGCAAGUAAUUUAAGCUUCCAAAUUCAGAAACUAGAAAAGAAAAGCAACAUAUUAAAUUCAAAGCAGAAUAAAUAAGAAAUAAAAAUUAGUGAAAGAAAAUCAACAAGCCAAAAGUUGAAUUUUUUUUUGGAAAAGAUUAAUAGAAUUCAUAGGCCUCUAGUCAAGUUAAUGAAGACACAAAUUACUAAUAUGAGACAUGAAAGAGGUACCAUCAUUACUGAUCCAUGAAGAUUAAAAGGGUUAUAAAGGAAUCUUAAGGACAACGUAGGCCAUAAAUUUGAUAACUAAACUGAAAUUGACCAAUUAUUUUAAAAAUAUAUUCUGUCAAAAUUCACACAAGGAUAAACCUGAAUAAGCAAAUUAAACAGAAAAUACAAAGAGCAGAUGAGUUCAGUGGUGGAUUUUGCCACACUUUAUGUAGAAAUUAUACCAGUUCUCUAUAAUCUCUUUCCAAAAGUAAAAGCAGAGGGAGCAUUUUCAUGAGGCUAGCAUUACUGUAAUACCAAAGUUAGGUGAAGACAUAUCAAGAAAGGAAAACCAUAGACCAAUAUCUUUCAUGAUCAUAAAUGUAGAAAUUCUCAACAAAUAUUAGCAAAUCAAAUUGAACAGUGUAUUUAAAGAAUUAUACAUCAUGACCAACUGCAUUUUUUUCAACUAUGCAAACUGACUCAAAAUUUGAUAAUGAAUGUAACCUAAUUAGAGAUUAGGGAUGAAAUUUGAUCAUAGCAAUAGGUGUAGAAAAAGCAUUUGAUGAAAUCUAAUAUUUGUUAUGAUAAAACACAGCAAAGUAAGAAUACAGGGAAUUUCAACUUGGUCAAGAAGUACUUUGUGUUAAAACUAGAUACUUUUCUGCUAAGAUGAGGACAAAGCAAGGAUGUCUCUCACCACAGAUUUUCAAAAUCUGUCUGAACAUCCUAAGACAGGAAGGUAAGUUCUAAUGCAAGAAGAUAAAAGAUACACAGAUUUGGAAAGAAGUAAAAAAAUGACUUUGUUUUCAGAUAACAAGAUUCUCUUAAAAAAUCCAAAGACACAACAACCAAAACCUCCCAAUGCUUAUUAGCAAUUAUAGCAAGGAUAUGAUGCUCAUGUAGACAAAGAAAAAAAGUAUGAUCUUGCCCAUGUCCCAUGCAGGCAGUGGAAUUUGGGUUUCCUCUGCCUGUAACAGGCUGGCUGUGAAAUAAAGCUAAGAAAGAGAAAUAUGGCAAAGAAACCACAAGACACAGGUAGUAAUUUUAGAAAGCAGGGAUGAGACAACUCUUCAGCAUUAGGGUUCAAGCUUCCAUGCUGGAAGGAGGGUGUGAGAGCCCAUGUUUGCUUUAUUUAUGUUGGGGAAAUUGAAAGGUUUUCCAUGGAAUGUUCUUUGCCAGAUAAGGUGGGGAGUGGGCUGUCUAGUUCUCAAUGGGUUAUGCCCAACUCCAGAGCUACUAGAGUUGUCCCACUAGUAGAGCAAGGGGCGAGAUCUCACAUCUUGGGCAGUCUACACACAGGAAUGCUGGGAUUGUUCCCAAGGAGAGACCUAAGUCCCCCAUGGCUCAGUACCAGUAAAAGACCACUUAAUUAGCUUAACUGGUGAAGUAUGAAGCUCCAAAAGACAGGAAGUAACUUUAAAAGCAUAUUUUUAUUUGAAGAAAGCCAAUCUGAAAAGAUUUUGUACCAUAGGAUUCUAUGGAUAUGACUUUCUGGAAAGGGAAACUAUAUAGAAAGUAAAAAUAUGAAUGGUUACCAGGGAUUCAAAGGGAAGGAGAAAGGAACAAAUGGAUGGUGGUGAUUUUUAAGGCAGAGAAAGUAUUCUGUAGGGUACUAUAAUUGUAGAUUCAUGUCAUUAUACACUUGUCUGUACCUAUGAAUGCAAACCACAAAGAAUGAACUUUAAAGGAAACUAUUGGCUUUAGUUAAGAAUAAUGUAUCAAUAUUGAUUCAUUAGUCAUUACAAAUUACCACACUAAUGCACGAUGAUAGGAUGGACCAGUGAAGGGUUAUGUGAGAAGUUCUCUGUAUUUUUGCUCAAUUUUUCCUGUAACUGUACAAAUGCUCUAAAAAAUAUAGUAUAAUAAGUGAAUAAAUAAUAAUAACCAGCCAACCAAUCCUGCCUGUGUAUAUAGUGUGGUAGUUGAGUCUAUG
This 2219-nucleotide long non-coding RNA is filed under the name Marmota monax (woodchuck). Lineage: Eukaryota; Metazoa; Chordata; Mammalia; Rodentia; Sciuridae. The record is from RNAcentral.